CUGAAAACGGAGCUGGCUCCCUCAGUCCGAAUGAGCGCCGGGACAUUUUUGCAGGGAUUCCAUCCAGCUCUGUCGCCCCGUUGGGGCCAGAUCCAUCUUUUCUUCUCUUUCGGGAAUUCAGCCUGGAGGAGGUCGGCGGCUCCAUCUUGCCAAGCACGUCCAGAAGAAACUGUCCCGGCCCGCAGCCGCCGCCGCUCCCGCCGCCGCCCCGCCCCGCUCCCGCCAACG
Molecule: long non-coding RNA, 228 nt
Filed under: Gallus gallus (chicken)
Lineage: Eukaryota; Metazoa; Chordata; Aves; Galliformes; Phasianidae
Source: RNAcentral